This 503-nucleotide ribosomal RNA is filed under the name uncultured bacterium. RNAcentral describes it as "partial 16S ribosomal RNA". It matches the Rfam family "Bacterial small subunit ribosomal RNA", at positions 30 to 523 of the family's 1533-position model. The record is from RNAcentral.
AUUGAACGCUGGCGGCAGGCUUAACACAUGCAAGUCGAGCGGGGUGAUGGUGCUUGCACUAUCACUUAGCGGCGGACGGGUGAGUAAUGCUUAGGAAUCUGCCUAUUAGUGGGGGACAACAUCUCGAAAGGGAUGCUAAUACCGCAUACGUCCUACGGGAGAAAGCAGGGGAUCACUUGUGACCUUGCGCUAAUAGAUGAGCCUAAGUCGGAUUAGCUAGUUGGUGGGGUAAAGGCCUACCAAGGCGACGAUCUGUAGCGGGUCUGAGUGGAUGAACCGACACACUGGGACUGAGACACGGGCCAGACUCCUACGGGAGGCAGCAGUGGGGAAUAUUGGACAAUGGGGGGAACCCUGAUCCAGCCAUGCCGCGUGUGUGAAGAAGGCCUUAUGGUUGUAAAGCACUUUAAGCGAGGAGGAGGCUCUUUUGGUUAAUACCCAAGAUGAGUGGACGUUACUCGCAGAAUAGGCACCGGCUAACUCUGUGCCAGCCGCCGCGGUAA